GGGCGGUUGGCGCAGUGGUAGCGCACUUCCCUGAAACGGAAGGGGUCACAAGUUCGAAUCUUGUAUCGCCCA
Molecule: transfer RNA, 72 nt
Filed under: Bifidobacterium longum
Lineage: Bacteria; Bacillati; Actinomycetota; Actinomycetes; Bifidobacteriales; Bifidobacteriaceae
Description: tRNA-Phe
Rfam family: tRNA
About the family: Transfer RNA (tRNA) molecules are approximately 80 nucleotides in length. Their secondary structure includes four short double-helical elements and three loops (D, anti-codon, and T loops). Further hydrogen bonds mediate the characteristic L-shaped molecular structure. tRNAs have two regions of fundamental functional importance: the anti-codon, which is responsible for specific mRNA codon recognition, and the 3' end, to which the tRNAs corresponding amino acid is attached (by aminoacyl-tRNA synthetases). tRNAs cope with the degeneracy of the genetic code in two manners: having more than one tRNA (with a specific anti-codon) for a particular amino acid; and 'wobble' base-pairing, i.e. permitting non-standard base-pairing at the 3rd anti-codon position.
Source: RNAcentral